This 817-nucleotide ribosomal RNA is filed under the name Lempholemma polyanthes. RNAcentral describes it as "mitochondrial SSU rRNA". It matches the Rfam family "Bacterial small subunit ribosomal RNA", at positions 370 to 1201 of the family's 1533-position model. The record is from RNAcentral. Lineage: Eukaryota; Fungi; Ascomycota; Lichinomycetes; Lichinales; Porocyphaceae.
CAUAGCCUAACGGCUGAACCAGCAACUUGGAGGAAUGUAAAGCAUAAAAAUGCUAAUUAUAUAUAGUUAAUAUAAUUUCGGCUAUGUCGUAUAAAAUUCUAGAUAGUAUUUUGAUAAUGACAUCUUCUAUCUAUAAGUCUUGACCAAAACUCGUGCCAGCAGUCGCGGUAAAACGUGGAAGACAAGUGUUAUUCAUCUUAAAUGGGUUUAAAGGGUACCUAGACGGUUAAUCUAGCCGAAAAAGGUACAGAUUUACUAGAGUUUAAUAUGUAAGAAGGAUAGAAUUUUUGGUGUAGAGAUAAAAUGCUAAUAAACCAAAAGGACUGACAAAGGCGAAAGCAACCUUAGUAUAAAAAUACUUUAGUUUUUUUAUUAUUUUUAAUAAUAAAAUAUUACUAUGUGUAUUAAUCUUCGUAUAAACUGACGUUGAGGGACGAAGGCCUGGGUAGCGAUAAGGAUUAGAUACCCUGAUAGUCCAGGCAGAAAAUUAUGAAUGUCAUAAACUAGAAAUAUUUAGUUUAUAAAUGAAAGUGUAAGCAUUCCACCUUACGAGUAAUGCGGCAAGGCAGGAACUGAAAUCAUUAGACCGUUUCUGAAACCAGUAGUGAAGUAUGUUAUUUAAUUCGAUGACCCACGAAAAACCUUACCACAAUUUGAAUACUUUUACAAGUGCUGCACGGCUGUCUUCAGUUAAUGCCGUGAGGUUUGGUUUAUUCCUUUAAUUAACGUAAACCCUCACUCUAUUUAAUAUUAAAAAAUAUUGUUGUUUUUCUUAAAGAGGAAAAAUAAUAGGGAUUAAGACAAGUCAUCAUGGCCU